CCUACGGGUGGCAGCAGUGAGGAAUAUUGGUCAAUGGACGCAAGUCUGAACCAGCCAUGCCGCGUGCAGGAAGACGGCUCUAUGGGUUGUAAACUGCUUUUGUACGAGGGUAAAGCGCGAUACGUGUAUCGGUUUGCAAGUAUCGUACGAAUAAGGACCGGCUAACUCCGUGCCAGCAGCCGCGGUAAUACGGAGGGUUCAAGCGUUAUCCGGAUUUAUUGGGUUUAAAGGGUGCGUAGGCGGGUCGCUAAGUUAGAGGUGAAAUCCCCGGGCUCAACUCCGGCACUGCCUCUGAUACUGGCGUGCUUGAGUUCAGUGGAGGCAGGCGGAAUGUAUGGUGUAGCGGUGAAAUGCAUAGAUAUCACAAAGAACACCGAUUGCGAAGGCAGCUUACCAAACUACGACUGACGCUGAUGCACGAAAGCGUGGGGAGCAAACAGGAUUAGAUACCCUAGUAGUC
This 460-nucleotide ribosomal RNA is filed under the name uncultured bacterium. RNAcentral describes it as "partial 16S ribosomal RNA". It matches the Rfam family "Bacterial small subunit ribosomal RNA", at positions 338 to 795 of the family's 1533-position model. The record is from RNAcentral.